CACUAUGCUUAGCCAUAAACAUUGAUAGCGUUACACCCCACUAUCCGCCCGGGAACUACGAGCAAUAGCUUAAAACCCAAAGGACUUGGCGGUGCUUUAGAUCCACUUAGAGGAGCCUGUUCUAGAACCGAUAAUCCCCGUUCAACCUCACCUUUCCUAGUUUAACCCGCCUAUAUACCGCCGUCGCCAGCUUACCCUGUGAAGGCUUUAUAGUAAGCAAAAAUGAUUUAAAUCCAAGACGUCAGGUCGAGGUGUAGCGCAUGGAAAGGAAAGAAAUGGGCUACAUUCCCUACCCCAGGGAACACGAAUAAUACACUGAAACGCGUAUUUGAAGGAGGAUUUAAUAGUAAGUAGAAAAUAGAGUGUCCUACUGAAACCGGCCCUGAAGCGCGCACACACCGCCCGUCACUCUCCCCAAACUCAACCCAUUAAAUUAAACUUAAACCACCAUCCAUGAAAAGGGGAGGCAAGUCGUAA
This 477-nucleotide ribosomal RNA is filed under the name Sargocentron diadema (crown squirrelfish). Its description in RNAcentral is "partial small subunit ribosomal RNA". It matches the Rfam family "Bacterial small subunit ribosomal RNA", at positions 788 to 1491 of the family's 1533-position model. The record is from RNAcentral. Lineage: Eukaryota; Metazoa; Chordata; Actinopteri; Holocentriformes; Holocentridae.